CAGGUAACAUUAAAUCGUACCCCAAACCGACACAGGUGGUCAGGUAGAGAAUACCAAGGCGCUUGAGAGAACUCGGGUGAAGGAACUAGGCAAAAUGGUGCCGUAACUUCGGGAGAAGGCACGCUGGCAUGUAGGUGAAGUCCCUUGCGGAUGGAGCUGAAGCCAGUCGAAGAUACCAGCUGGCUGCAACUGUUUAAUAAAAACACAGCACUGUGCAAACACGAAAGUGGACGUAUACGGUGUGACGCCUGCCCGGUGCUGGAAGGUUAAUUGAUGGGGUCAGCCGCAAGGCGAAGCUCUUGAUCGAAGCCCCAGUAAACGGCGGCCGUAACUAUAACGGUCCUAAGGUAGCGAAAUUCCUUGUCGGGUAAGUUCCGACCUGCACGAAUGGCGUAAUGAUGGCCAGGCUGUCUCCACCCGAGACUCAGUGAAAUUGAACUCGCUGUGAAGAUGCAGUGUACCCGCGGCAAGACGGAAAGACCCCGUGAACCUUUACUAUAGCUUGACACUGAACAUUGAGCCUUGAUGUGUAGGAUAGGUGGGAGGCUUUGAAGCGUGGACGCCAGUCUGCGUGGAGCCAUCCUUGAAAUACCACCCUUUAAUGUUUGAUGUUCUAACUCGGCCCCAUAAUCUGGGGUGAGGACAGUGUCUGGUGGGUAGUUUGACUGGGGCGGUCUCCUCCCAAAGAGUAACGGAGGAGCACGAAGGUUAGCUAAUCACGGUCGGACAUCGUGAGGUUAGUGCAAAGGCAUAAGCUAGCUUGACUGCGAGAGUGACGGCUCGAGCAGGUACGAAAGUAGGUCUUAGUGAUCCGGUGGUUCUGAAUGGAAGGGCCAUCGCUCAACGGAUAAAAGGUACUCCGGGGAUAACAGGCUGAUACCGCCCAAGAGUUCAUAUCGACGGCGGUGUUUGGCACCUCGAUGUCGGCUCAUCACAUCCUGGGGCUGAAGUAGGUCCCAAGGGUAUGGCUGUUCGCCAUUUAAAGUGGUACGCGAGCUGGGUUUAGAACGUCGUGAGACAGUUCGGUCCCUAUCUGCCGUGGGCGUUGGAAGAUUGAGAGGGGUUGCUCCUAGUACGAGAGGACCGGAGUGAACGCACCACUGGUGUUCGGGUUGUCAUGCCAAUGGCAUUGCCCGGUAGCUAAGUGCGGAAAAGAUAAGCGCUGAAAGCAUCUAAGCGCGAAACUUGCCUCAAGAUGAGUCUUCCCUGGGCCUUUAAGGCCCCUGAAGGAACGUUUAAGACUAAGACGUUGAUAGGCUGGGUGUGUAAGUGCAGCGAUGCAUUGAGCUAACCAGUACUAAUGAUCCGUGAGGCUUAACCUU
This 1322-nucleotide ribosomal RNA is filed under the name Serratia marcescens. RNAcentral's name for it is "partial 23S ribosomal RNA". It matches the Rfam family "Bacterial large subunit ribosomal RNA", at positions 1628 to 2925 of the family's 2925-position model. Lineage: Bacteria; Pseudomonadati; Pseudomonadota; Gammaproteobacteria; Enterobacterales; Yersiniaceae. RNAcentral also lists the same sequence under 1 other name. The record is from RNAcentral.